CCUACGGGGGGCAGCAGUGAGGAAUAUUGGUCAAUGGACGAGAGUCUGAACCAGCCAAGCCGCGUGCAGGAUGACUGCCCUAUGGGUUGUAAACUUCUUUUAUAUAGGAGUAAAACAGGAUAUGUAUACCCUCUUGUAUGUACUGUAUGAAUAAGGAUCGGCUAACUCCGUGCCAGCAGCCGCGGUAAUACGGAGGAUCCGAGCGUUAUCCGGAUUUAUUGGGUUUAAAGGGAGCGUAGGUGGAUUGGUAAGUCAGUUGUGAAAGUUAGAGGCUUAACCGUCGAAUUGCAGUUGAUACUGGCAGUCUUGAGUACAGUAGAGGUAGGCGGAAUGCGUGGUGUAGCGGUGAAAUGCUUAGAUAUCACGAAGAACUCCGAUUGCGAAGGCAGCUCAC
RNAcentral lists this ribosomal RNA (394 nucleotides) under uncultured bacterium. RNAcentral describes it as "partial 16S ribosomal RNA". It matches the Rfam family "Bacterial small subunit ribosomal RNA", at positions 338 to 729 of the family's 1533-position model. The record is from RNAcentral.